GACGAACGCUGGCGGCGUGCUUAACACAUGCAAGUCGAACGGAAAGGCCCUGCUUUUGUGGGGUGCUCGAGUGGCGAACGGGUGAGUAACACGUGAGUAACCUGCCCUUGACUUUGGGAUAACUUCAGGAAACUGGGGCUAAUACCGGAUAGGAGCUCCUGCUGCAUGGUGGGGGUUGGAAAGUUUCGGCGGUUGGGGAUGGACUCGCGGCUUAUCAGCUUGUUGGUGGGGUAGUGGCUUACCAAGGCUUUGACGGGUAGCCGGCCUGAGAGGGUGACCGGCCACAUUGGGACUGAGAUACGGCCCAGACUCCUACGGGGGGCAGCAGUGGGGAAUAUUGCACAAUGGGCGGAAGCCUGAUGCAGCAACGCCGCGUGCGGGAUGACGGCCUUCGGGUUGUAAACCGCUUUCGCCUGUGACGAAGCGCGAGUGACGGUAAUGGGUAAAGAAGCACCGGCUAACUACGUG
This 468-nucleotide ribosomal RNA is filed under the name uncultured bacterium. Its description in RNAcentral is "partial 16S ribosomal RNA". It matches the Rfam family "Bacterial small subunit ribosomal RNA", at positions 28 to 507 of the family's 1533-position model. The record is from RNAcentral.